CCCUAGCCCUGAUAGGAGCGGCAUCCUUUUGUUUUUUUCUUUAAAAAACAAAAGAUACAGCGGAUAGCAGGAUUAGCU
RNAcentral lists this small RNA (78 nucleotides) under Flavobacterium anhuiense. Its description in RNAcentral is "Flavo-1 RNA". It matches the Rfam family "Flavo-1 RNA". Lineage: Bacteria; Pseudomonadati; Bacteroidota; Flavobacteriia; Flavobacteriales; Flavobacteriaceae. The record is from RNAcentral.